This 74-nucleotide transfer RNA is filed under the name Candidatus Harrisonbacteria bacterium CG10_big_fil_rev_8_21_14_0_10_42_17. RNAcentral describes it as "tRNA-Pro". It matches the Rfam family "tRNA". Rfam says of the family: Transfer RNA (tRNA) molecules are approximately 80 nucleotides in length. Their secondary structure includes four short double-helical elements and three loops (D, anti-codon, and T loops). Further hydrogen bonds mediate the characteristic L-shaped molecular structure. tRNAs have two regions of fundamental functional importance: the anti-codon, which is responsible for specific mRNA codon recognition, and the 3' end, to which the tRNAs corresponding amino acid is attached (by aminoacyl-tRNA synthetases). tRNAs cope with the degeneracy of the genetic code in two manners: having more than one tRNA (with a specific anti-codon) for a particular amino acid; and 'wobble' base-pairing, i.e. permitting non-standard base-pairing at the 3rd anti-codon position. The record is from RNAcentral. Lineage: Bacteria; Candidatus Harrisoniibacteriota.
CGGGCCGUAGUAUACCGGUAGUACGCAGUCUUCGGGUGGCUGUAGACCGGGUUCAAUUCCUGGCGGCCCGACUA